This 463-nucleotide long non-coding RNA is filed under the name Amphimedon queenslandica. Its description in RNAcentral is "uncharacterized LOC109591364". Lineage: Eukaryota; Metazoa; Porifera; Demospongiae; Haplosclerida; Niphatidae. The record is from RNAcentral.
GUGCAGAAAUUAAAAAUGGCGGAUUUUCUGUCCAGCAAAUACUACUGACUCAGAAAUCUAAAGUUUUAAAGCUAAAACUCGUCCUAGAAAUUUUUGUGAAGAAGACCUAGUGGUAUAGAAAUUACUGAAGAGGCUAAUUGUAUUAAUUGUACUGAAUGGAAAUCUUUUACUGGAAGUGAGUAAGAUUCCGGCAGAUGUACAAGCUAAAGGUGGUCCUCUUAGUAUCAGUGGAGAGGUAGCUCAUGCCAUCAAUCUCAGUGGACUGAGGGAAUUGUGUAUUAGGAGAGUGGAUAAAGAUGAAGUGACACUUGAUUUGGUUGAAUUCAGAUUUAAAGUGAGUUAUGAGUAUGAACUCUAGCAGUGCAUGUACAAGCAUGUGUGAUACAAUGAUACCAUAAUGAGUCAAUGAGUCAAUAUUUGAAUAAUUAUAAAUGAGAAUAUAUACAGCACCCUUAUAAAUUUA